AAAAUCCGUCGACUUUCCAA
RNAcentral lists this transfer RNA (20 nucleotides) under Cryptantha peruviana. Its description in RNAcentral is "partial tRNA-Leu". The record is from RNAcentral. Lineage: Eukaryota; Viridiplantae; Streptophyta; Magnoliopsida; Boraginales; Boraginaceae.